GGCUCCAUGAGAGAGAAACGACCGGUGCUUGCGCCCUUUCACGGCGGCAACACGGGUUCGAACCCCGUUGGGGACGCCA
This 79-nucleotide transfer RNA is filed under the name Acidobacteriota bacterium. RNAcentral describes it as "Acidobacteria bacterium (rhizosphere metagenome) tRNA-Glu". Lineage: Bacteria; Pseudomonadati; Acidobacteriota. The record is from RNAcentral.